UUCUUCAGAAAAUUAAUUAAAAAAGAUUAAUUAAUUAGAAGGAAUUCAGCAAAUUUAAUUGCUCCGCCUGUUUAUCAAAAACAUGGCUCUUUGCUUAAUAAAUAUAAAGAGUCGAGCCUGCCCAGUGAAUCUUCAACGGCCGCGGUACUCUGACCGUGCAAAGGUAGCAUAAUCAUUUGCCUUAUAAUUGAAGGCUAGUAUGAAUGGUUUGACGAGGGCAAUACUGUCUCCUUUUUAUUUUCAAGAACUUAACUUUUAGGUGAAGAGGCCUAAAUUUUAUUGAAGGACAAGAAGACCCUGUCGAGCUUAAAAGAAAUUAUAGAAGUUUAAUAUACCUUUAGAUAAAUUUCCUAUUAAGCUUUUUAGUUGGGGCGACUGAGGAACAAAAAAAGCUUCUUUUUAGUAAUAAACAAUCACGUUUAGAUCCGAUAAUAGCGAUUAAAGGAAUUAGUUACCGCAGGGAUAACAGCAUAAUCUCUCUUAAGAGACCUAAUCGAAAGAGGGGGUUGUGACCUCGAUGUUGGACUAGAAUAUCCUAAAGAUGC
This 545-nucleotide ribosomal RNA is filed under the name Semisulcospira gredleri. Its description in RNAcentral is "partial large subunit ribosomal RNA". It matches the Rfam family "Bacterial large subunit ribosomal RNA", at positions 1723 to 2556 of the family's 2925-position model. The record is from RNAcentral. Lineage: Eukaryota; Metazoa; Mollusca; Gastropoda; Semisulcospiridae.